CCAUCUGAUGCAUCCUCCAGGCCCCUUCUUCCGUCCCCAUUCCAAGAACACACAGCCAUGAGCGAAUUCCACACAUCGCUGUUGAGCUCCUGUUCUUGGCACAAGAGCGAUCGCGCCUCGUCGAUCAUGGCCCCAGAUGCCGUUUCCUGGACGAUGCUCGUCACGGCGCUGGAAGGAUCGCAAGGGGGAAGCGUUCCAGGUCUGAUCUGGAAGGUGUGAAG
RNAcentral lists this long non-coding RNA (221 nucleotides) under Selaginella moellendorffii. RNAcentral's name for it is "long non-coding RNA (SMOE_LNC002454)". Lineage: Eukaryota; Viridiplantae; Streptophyta; Lycopodiopsida; Selaginellales; Selaginellaceae. The record is from RNAcentral.